Molecule: ribosomal RNA, 530 nt
Filed under: uncultured bacterium
Lineage: Bacteria
Description: bacterial SSU rRNA
Rfam family: Bacterial small subunit ribosomal RNA
Source: RNAcentral
AUCCUGGCUUAGGACGAACGCUGGCGGCGUGCCUAAUACAUGCAAGUCGAACGGUCUUUCUAUGGAAGCUUGCUUCCACUGAGAAGAUAGUGGCGAACGGGUGAGUAACACGUGGGUAACCUGCCCAUAAGAGGGGGGAUAACAUCCGGAAACGGGUGCUAAUACCGCAUAGUUUUCUUGAUCGCAUGAUCGGGAAAGGAAAGACGGCCUUUGUGCUGUCGCUUAUGGAUGGACCCGCGGCGUAUUAGUUAGUUGGUGAGGUAACGGCUCACCAAGACGAUGAUACGUAGCCGACCUGAGAGGGUGAUCGGCCACAUUGGGACUGAGACACGGCCCAAACUCCUACGGGAGGCAGCAGUAGGGAAUCUUCCGCAAUGGACGAAAGUCUGACGGAGCAACGCCGCGUGAGUGAAAGAAGGUUUUCGGAUCGUAAAACUCUGUUGUCAGAGAAGAACAAGUUGGAGAGUAACUGCUCCAGCCUUGACGGUAUCUGACCAGAAAGCCACGGCUAACUACGUGCCAGCCGCCGC